ACUCCUACGGGAGGCAGCAGUGGGGAAUAUUGCACAAUGGGCGCAAGCCUGAUGCAGCCAUGCCGCGUGUAUGAAGAAGGCCUUCGGGUUGUAAAGUACUUUCAGCAGUGAGGAAGGUGGGUAUGUUAAUAGCAUAUCCAUUUGCAUUGACUGAUGAGCUGCAGAAAGAAGCACCGGCUAACUCCGUGCCAGCAGCCGCGGUAAUACGGAGGGUGCGAGCGUUAAUCGGAAUUACUGGGCGU
RNAcentral lists this ribosomal RNA (242 nucleotides) under uncultured bacterium. Its description in RNAcentral is "partial 16S ribosomal RNA". It matches the Rfam family "Bacterial small subunit ribosomal RNA", at positions 335 to 561 of the family's 1533-position model. The record is from RNAcentral.